Molecule: long non-coding RNA, 525 nt
Organism: Bos taurus (domestic cattle)
Lineage: Eukaryota; Metazoa; Chordata; Mammalia; Artiodactyla; Bovidae
Source: Ensembl
UUCAAGACCUAUGACCCUUGUUAUUGUUUUUGUGAGGAUGGGGGGAACUUUGCUUUUUAUUUUUUGUACUCAGCUGGGAGAGGGGUUGGGGUGAAGUGAGGUACAAGGAUAUGGAAGCAGGAACAGUGGAAAGUACCCACGAUGAGUUCACCUGAGCCCAAAGAUUUUCAGAAUAUUUAAUAUAUUCAUUGGAAGGACUGAUGCUGAAGUUGAAACUCCAAUACUUUGGCCACCUGAUGUGAAGAACUGACUCAUUGGAAAAGACGCUGAUGCUAGGAAAGAUUGAAGGCAGCAGAAGGGGGCCUCAUUGCCUCUCUGGAAAGUCUUGUUGGAGGGAGAGAAGCUGACCUCAUAUUCAUUCUUUGUUAUGUGACCCACUUCUGCCCAUGGGAAAUAUGCAUCCCUACACCCCCUGACGGGGAGCUGACUGUGGCACAGACCAUGAACUGCUUAUUGCCAAAUUCAGACUUAAAUUGAAGAAAGUGGGGAAAACCAUUAACCCACCCAAGUAUGACUGAAUCAGAU